AGAACGAACGCUGGCGGCAUGCCUAACACAUGCAAGUCGAACGCUUCCGGGGCUUCGGUCGCGGAGGAGUGGCGCACGGGUGAGUAGCGCGUGGGAACCUGCCCUGUUGUGGGGGAUAACCGAGGGAAACUUCGGCUAAUACCGCAUACGCCCCGGGACUUGGUCUUCGGAUUAGGUCUGGGGGGAAAGAUUGAUCGCAGCAGGAGGGGCCCGCGUCGGAUUAGCUGGUUGGUGGGGUAACGGCUCACCAAGGCGAUGAUCCGUAGCUGGUCUGAGAGGAUGAUCAGCCACACUGGGACUGAGACACGGCCCAGACUCCUACGGGAGGCAGCAGUGGGGAAUAUUGGACAAUGGGGGCAACCCUGAUCCAGCAAUGCCGCGUGAGUGAUGAAGGCCUUAGGGUUGUAAAGCUCUUUCGCCCGCGACGAUGAUGACGGUAGCGGGAGAAGAGCCCGGCUAACUUCGCGCCAGCAGCCGC
This 478-nucleotide ribosomal RNA is filed under the name uncultured bacterium. RNAcentral describes it as "SSU rRNA". It matches the Rfam family "Bacterial small subunit ribosomal RNA", at positions 26 to 518 of the family's 1533-position model. The record is from RNAcentral.